Molecule: long non-coding RNA, 283 nt
Filed under: Otus sunia (Oriental scops-owl)
Lineage: Eukaryota; Metazoa; Chordata; Aves; Strigiformes; Strigidae
Description: lncRNA (ENSOSUG00000001525.1)
Source: RNAcentral
GUGGGCAUACACUGGGUAUGACAGAUUAAUUUAUACAUCUGUGUUCAAAAUUGCAGGGCCCAGUUGAGCACCUGGAAGGAGGCCUGGUCCCUGUGCUGGAGACCAAACAUUUAGAUGAUGUGUGCAGAGGACAGACCUACAGUAAGAUAGAUAAAUGGGGAUGGAGCUUAAAUGUUGGGGUACUUCAUUGCAGCAAGAACGUAGGAAUACCAAGAAUGAAACGUAUGACCUGAAAACUGGUGAAUCAUUUGAGGAAAUCAGUGGACCAUUCUUACAAAGCUGA